AAAGCAGGUUGCAAUUACAGUACUUCAGAAUUCUGUGGAAGUGCUGCCAUUAUCCUGCUGACAAAAAAGCUGUGUUGGUCGUUGCUGAUUUUGCCUUUGUGCAGGUGAAGUCAUGACAGACUGACAGCAACAAUU
Ochotona princeps (American pika) is the source of this 135-nucleotide small nucleolar RNA. RefSeq annotates it as small nucleolar RNA SNORA69. The transcript has a single exon. Lineage: Eukaryota; Metazoa; Chordata; Mammalia; Lagomorpha; Ochotonidae. The record is from RefSeq and is a predicted model, not a curated record.